AGAUUGAACGCUGGCGGUAUGCUUUACACAUGCAAGUCGAACGGUAACAGGCCGCAAGGUGCUGACGAGUGGCGAACGGGUGAGUAAUGCAUCGGAACGUGCCCAGUCGUGGGGGAUAACGCAGCGAAAGCUGUGCUAAUACCGCAUACGAUCUAUGGAUGAAAGCGGGGACCGAAAGGCCUCGCGCGAUUGGAGCGGCCGAUGUCAGAUUAGCUAGUUGGUGGGGUAAAGGCCCACCAAGGCGACGAUCUGUAGCUGGUCUGAGAGGACGACCAGCCACACUGGAACUGAGACACGGUCCAGACUCCUACGGGAGCAGCAGUGGGGAAUUUGGACAA
Molecule: ribosomal RNA, 338 nt
Filed under: uncultured soil bacterium
Lineage: Bacteria
Description: bacterial SSU rRNA
Rfam family: Bacterial small subunit ribosomal RNA
Source: RNAcentral